UGUUUAUCAAAAACAUGUCUUUUAGAAUUGAAUUUAAAGUCGGGCCUGCCCACUGAAUAAUUGAAUGGCCGCAGUAUUUUAACUGUGCAAAGGUAGCAUAAUCAUUAGUCUUUUAAUUGAAGGCUUGUAUGAAUGGUUGGACAAGAUAUAUAUUGUUUCAUAUAAAUUUAUAGAAUUUUAUUUUUUAGUUAAAAAGCUAAAAUUUGAUUAAAAGACGAGAAGACCCUAUAGAUCUUUAUAAUUAUUGGAUCUUAUUUAUUAAGAAUAUUUUAUAUUUGAUUUAUAUAAUUAUUUUAUUGGGGUGAUAGUAAGAUUAAUUUAACUCUUAUGUAGUUAGACCAUAAAUUAAUGACUAGGUUGAUCCAGUAUUAUUGAUUAAUAAAAUAAGUUACCUUAGGGAUAACAGCGUAAUUUUUUUGGAGAGUUCAUAUCGAUAAAAAAGAUUGCGACCUCGAUGUUGGAUUAAGAGAUAGGUUUGGGCGCAGCCGUUCAAAUUUAAAGUCUGUUCGACUUUUUAAUUCUUACAUGAUCUGAGUUCAAACCGGA
RNAcentral lists this ribosomal RNA (546 nucleotides) under Prosoeca westermanni. RNAcentral describes it as "partial large subunit ribosomal RNA". It matches the Rfam family "Bacterial large subunit ribosomal RNA", at positions 1801 to 2620 of the family's 2925-position model. The record is from RNAcentral. Lineage: Eukaryota; Metazoa; Arthropoda; Insecta; Diptera; Nemestrinidae.